RNAcentral lists this ribosomal RNA (253 nucleotides) under uncultured bacterium. RNAcentral's name for it is "partial 16S ribosomal RNA". It matches the Rfam family "Bacterial small subunit ribosomal RNA", at positions 524 to 776 of the family's 1533-position model. The record is from RNAcentral.
UACGUAGGGGGCAAGCGUUGUCCGGAAUCAUUGGGCGUAAAGAGCGCGUAGGCGGCCCUGUAAGUCCGCUGUGAAAGUCAAGGGCUCAACCCUUGAAUGCCGGUGGAUACUGCAGGGCUAGAGUCCGGAAGAGGCGAGUGGAAUUCCUGGUGUAGCGGUGAAAUGCGCAGAUAUCAGGAGGAACACCGGUGGCGAAGGCGGUUCUCUGGGCAUUAACUGACGCUGAGGAGCGAAAGCAUGGGGAGCGAACAGG